Molecule: long non-coding RNA, 443 nt
Organism: Columba livia (rock pigeon)
Lineage: Eukaryota; Metazoa; Chordata; Aves; Columbiformes; Columbidae
Exons: 4
Source: RefSeq, a predicted model, not a curated record
ACUGGACACUUUUAAGAUUCAGCUGGACGGGGUGCUGGAACAUCUUGUCUAGACUGCGCUGUUGCCAAGAAAGGCUGGACCAGGUGAUCCUUGUGGUCCCUUCCAACCCAGGAUUCCGUGAUUCUACGAUAUCAGACCUUCUAGAAGUGGCCCAUGGACAACUCAGGAGACUAAACUGUCCCUCUGAUCCCUUCUGCAUAUCUAACCAAUACACUUACAAGCAAGCUCUGGCUCCUGCAUUACGAACUGCCCUGACUGGUAAGCCCUACAAGAUUCUGCAAUAAUUGCUUGGCUGUGGCUUGAUACAGGUAAGAAGAAAUACAGCUUCAGCAGCCCUUCUGGGCAGAGUGCUUGGACUAGGUGUGGAAGGUGACGUCUCUAUAAUUACACAGCUUUCUUCCAUUUGAAAUUAUUCUGCCAUGUUUUCUUCCUGCUGAGGAGAG